This 1384-nucleotide ribosomal RNA is filed under the name uncultured Planctomycetota bacterium. RNAcentral's name for it is "bacterial SSU rRNA". It matches the Rfam family "Bacterial small subunit ribosomal RNA", at positions 46 to 1397 of the family's 1533-position model. The record is from RNAcentral. Lineage: Bacteria; Pseudomonadati; Planctomycetota.
GGAUUAGGCAUGCAAGUCGAACGAGGAUAUAUCCUUCGGGAUAUAAGCCGAGUGGCGCAAGGGUGAGUAAUGCAUAGAUUACCUGCCUCUAGGAUAAGGACAACUUUGUGAAAACGAAGCUAAUACUUAAUAAUACAAAAGAAAAUAAUUUUCUUUUGUCAAUGGGAGGGUAGCAAUACCUUUUGCCUAGAGAGGGGUUUAUGUCCUAUCAGCUUGUUGGUGGGGUAAUGGCCUACCAAGGCGAAGACGGGUAGCCGGUCUUAGAGGAUGGUCGGCUACACUGGGACUGAGACACUGCCCAGACUUCUACGGAAGGCUGCAGUCGAGAAUCUUUCGCAAUGCCCGAAAGGGUGACGAAGCGACGCCGCGUGAGUGAGGAAGGCCUUAGGGUUGUAAAACUCUGUCAGGAGUUAAGAAAUAUAAGUGUGCUAAUACCGCAUUUAUUUGACGAAGGCUCCAAAGGAAGCCACGGCUAACUCUGUGCCAGCAGCCGCGGUAAUACAGAGGUGGCAAGCGUUGUUCGGAAUUAUUGGGCGUAAAGAGCACGUAGGUGGGUUUGUAAGUCAGAUGUGAAAGCCUUCUGUUCAACGGAAGAAUUGCAUCUGAAACUGCAAGUCUUGAGUGUAGGAGGGGAGAAUGGAACUUCUGGUGGAGCGGUGAAAUGCGUAGAUAUCAGAAGGAACGCCGGCGGCGAAAGCGAUUCUCUGGCCUAUUACUGACACUCAGUGUGCGAAAGCUAGGGGAGCAAACGGGAUUAGAUACCCCGGUAGUCCUAGCCGUAAACGAUGGGCACUAAGUAGAGGGGAUUACCGAUGUUCUCUCUGCCGUAGCUAACGCAUUAAGUGCCCCGCCUGGGGAGUACGGCCGCAAGGCUAAAACUCAAAAGAAUUGACGGGGGCUCGCACAAGCGGUGGAGCAUGUGGCUUAAUUCGAUGCAACGCGAAAAACCUUACCGGGGCUUGACAUGGUAGAAGUAGGAACCCGAAAGGGUAACGAACGGUAUCCAGUCCGUAGCUAUCACAGGUGUUGCAUGGCUGUCGUCAGCUCGUGUCGUGAGACGUUGGGUUAAGUCCCCUAACGAGCGAAACCCUUGUUUUUAGUUACCAGCGGGUUAUGCCGGGUACUCUAGAAAGACUGCCGUCGUCAAGACGGAGGAAGGUGGGGAUGACGUCAAGUCAUCAUGGCCCUUAUGCCCCGGGCCGCACACGUGCUACAAUGGUCGGUACAAACGGAAGCGAAGCCGAGAGGUGAAGCGAAUCCUAAAAAGCCGAUCUCAGUUCGGAUUGGGGGCUGAAAUUCGCCUCCAUGAAGUUGGAAUCGCUAGUAAUCGCGGAUCAGCAAUGCCGCGGUGAAUAUGUUCCCGAGCCUUGUACACACCGCCCGU